GACUCGAUAGCUCAAUGGGUGGAGCGGCGGUCUAGACACCCGAAGAUGCGGGUUCAAAUCCCGCUCGAGCCA
Molecule: transfer RNA, 72 nt
Filed under: Paramuricea clavata
Lineage: Eukaryota; Metazoa; Cnidaria; Anthozoa; Malacalcyonacea; Plexauridae
Rfam family: tRNA
About the family: Transfer RNA (tRNA) molecules are approximately 80 nucleotides in length. Their secondary structure includes four short double-helical elements and three loops (D, anti-codon, and T loops).
Source: Rfam by way of RNAcentral